This 176-nucleotide ribosomal RNA is filed under the name uncultured eukaryote. RNAcentral describes it as "partial small subunit ribosomal RNA". The record is from RNAcentral.
UAUCGCGUAAGGGUGGCGAAGCUGCUCGUAGUAUUCCUGCUCCGCCCCGUUCUCGCGAACAUCGUCGUCGCGGUCGCGGUAGUCCAGCAGGCAGUCCACCAGCUCGUUGGACAUCAUCGGCAGGCUGAGCAGCGUGUCGCCGUCGGCGGUGUUGAUGUUGAUUUUUCCGGCCUGGU